Molecule: transfer RNA, 75 nt
Filed under: Mrakia frigida
Lineage: Eukaryota; Fungi; Basidiomycota; Tremellomycetes; Cystofilobasidiales; Mrakiaceae
Description: tRNA-Ile (AAT) (tRNA-Ile-AAT-1 1 to 4)
Rfam family: tRNA
About the family: Transfer RNA (tRNA) molecules are approximately 80 nucleotides in length. Their secondary structure includes four short double-helical elements and three loops (D, anti-codon, and T loops). Further hydrogen bonds mediate the characteristic L-shaped molecular structure. tRNAs have two regions of fundamental functional importance: the anti-codon, which is responsible for specific mRNA codon recognition, and the 3' end, to which the tRNAs corresponding amino acid is attached (by aminoacyl-tRNA synthetases). tRNAs cope with the degeneracy of the genetic code in two manners: having more than one tRNA (with a specific anti-codon) for a particular amino acid; and 'wobble' base-pairing, i.e. permitting non-standard base-pairing at the 3rd anti-codon position.
Source: RNAcentral
GAUCGAUUAGCUCAGCUGGUUUAGAGCGUGGUGCUAAUAACGCCAAGGUCCUGGGUUCGAUCCCCAUAUUGAUCA